GACGAACGCUGGCGGCGUGCUUAACACAUGCAAGUCGAGCGGUAAGGCCCCUUCGGGGGUACACGAGCGGCGAACGGGUGAGUAACACGUGGGUGACCUGCCCUCAGCUCUGGGAUAAGCCUGGGAAACUGGGUCUAAUACCGGAUAUGACUCCAUGACGCAUGUCGUGGGGUGGAAAGCCUUGUGCGGCUGGGGAUGGGCCCGCGGCCUAUCAGCUUGUUGGUGGGGUGAUGGCCUACCAAGGCGACGACGGGUAGCCGGCCUGAGAGGGCGACCGGCCACACU
RNAcentral lists this ribosomal RNA (285 nucleotides) under uncultured bacterium. Its description in RNAcentral is "partial 16S ribosomal RNA". It matches the Rfam family "Bacterial small subunit ribosomal RNA", at positions 28 to 314 of the family's 1533-position model. The record is from RNAcentral.